GCAAAUAAUUUAGUGACUUAGGCCUCGGCCUGGGAGGCUGAGGCAGGAGGAUCACUUAGCCCAGGAGUUGUAAACUGCAGUGUGUUAUGCUGAUCAGGUGUCUGCACUAAGUUUGGCAUCAAUAUGGUGAUCCCCUGGGAAUGUCGGGGAACCCCAAGGUUGCUUAAGGUGAGGUUAACCUGCCCAGGUUGGAAACAGAGCAGAUCAUAACCAGUGCUGGUCAGUAGAGGGCUCACACCUGUGAGUAGCUGCUGCACUCCAACCUAGGCAACACUGCCUCU
Molecule: unclassified non-coding RNA, 281 nt
Organism: Otolemur garnettii (small-eared galago)
Lineage: Eukaryota; Metazoa; Chordata; Mammalia; Primates; Galagidae
Rfam family: Metazoan signal recognition particle RNA
About the family: The signal recognition particle (SRP) is a universally conserved ribonucleoprotein. It is involved in the co-translational targeting of proteins to membranes.
Source: Ensembl